AAAAAAGGGGGGGGUCUAUACAUGCAAGUCGAACGCUUCUUUUUCCACCGGAGCUUGCUCCACCGGAAAAAGAGGAGUGGCGAACGGGUGAGUAACACGUGGGUAACCUGCCCAUCAGAAGGGGAUAACACUUGGAAACAGGUGCUAAUACCGUAUAACAAUCGAAACCGCAUGGUUUCGAUUUGAAAGGCGCUUUCGGGUGUCGCUGAUGGAUGGACCCGCGGUGCAUUAGCUAGUUGGUGAGGUAACGGCUCACCAAGGCGACGAUGCAUAGCCGACCUGAGAGGGUGAUCGGCCACAUUGGGACUGAGACACGGCCCAAACUCCUACGGGAGGCAGCAGUAGGGAAUCUUCGGCAAUGGACGAAAGUCUGACCGAGCAACGCCGCGUGAGUGAAGAAGGUUUUCGGAUCGUAAAACUCUGUUGUUAGAGAAGAACAAGGAUGAGAGUAACUGUUCAUCCCUUGACGGUAUCUAACCAGAAAGCCACGGCUAACUACGUGCCAGCAGCCGCGGUAAUACGUAGGUGGCAAGCGUUGUCCGGAUUUAUUGGGCGUAAAGCGAGCGCAGGCGGUUUCUUAAGUCUGAUGUGAAAGCCCCCGGCUCAACCGGGGAGGGUCAUUGCAAACUGGGGAAACUU
Molecule: ribosomal RNA, 639 nt
Filed under: Enterococcus faecalis
Lineage: Bacteria; Bacillati; Bacillota; Bacilli; Lactobacillales; Enterococcaceae
Description: bacterial SSU rRNA
Rfam family: Bacterial small subunit ribosomal RNA
Source: RNAcentral